AUUGAACGCUGGCGGCAUGCUUUACACAUGCAAGUCGAACGGCAGCGCGGGCUUCGGCCCGGCGGCGAGUGGCGAACGGGUGAGUAAUGCAUCGGAACGUGCCCAGUAGUGGGGGAUAGCCCGGCGAAAGCCGGAUUAAUACCGCAUACGACCUGAGGGUGAAAGCGGGGGACCGAAAGGCCUCGCGCUAUUGGAGCGGCCGAUGUCGGAUUAGCUAGUUGGUGGGGUAAAGGCUUACCAAGGCGACGAUCCGUAGCUGGUCUGAGAGGACGACCAGCCACACUGGGACUGAGACACGGCCCAGACUCCUACGGGAGGCAGCAGUGGGGAAUUUUGGACAAAGGGGGCAACCCUGAUCCAGCCAUGCCGCGUGCGGGAAGAAGGCCUUCGGGUUGUAAACCGCUUUUGUUCGGGAAGAAAUCCUCUGGGCUAAUACCCCGGGGGGAUGACGGUACCGGAAGAAUAAGCACCGGCUAACUACGUG
Molecule: ribosomal RNA, 484 nt
Filed under: uncultured bacterium
Lineage: Bacteria
Description: partial 16S ribosomal RNA
Rfam family: Bacterial small subunit ribosomal RNA
Source: RNAcentral